This is a long non-coding RNA of Macrobrachium nipponense, 380 nucleotides long. RefSeq lists it as uncharacterized. The transcript is spliced from 3 exons. The record is from RefSeq and is a predicted model, not a curated record. Lineage: Eukaryota; Metazoa; Arthropoda; Malacostraca; Decapoda; Palaemonidae.
GGGACCACUCCAUUCGCCUGGUGUCUUCACCCCGUGUAGUCACGAACACCAGAGGAUCCCUACAGUUGAGAAGAAGCGUCUGGACAUUAUUCUUCUUCUCCAUUAAAGUAAGGACAACAGGGAAUUUUUAAGAUUACUGAAGCCACGCAUCCAGGAGAAUCCUACUUUGUAAUUAGGUCCUUCCGAGGUGCUCAUCGAACAUAAUGAGGUUCCUUCAAGUAAACCUCAUGACUCUGCUUUCCCUGGUCCUACUAGGAGAAGUUGCUGGGGGUGUAUCAAAACGGGAUUCGAUACUCUGGGAAGAAGUUUUUGGUAAGGCACAUUACAGAAAGUGGAAAUAUUAUUGCAUACACCUGAUACACACAGUCACACUGCAAAAU